Long non-coding RNA from Rosa chinensis, 1233 nucleotides. RefSeq lists it as uncharacterized. NCBI's taxonomy places the organism in Eukaryota, Viridiplantae, Streptophyta, Magnoliopsida, Rosales, Rosaceae. The transcript is spliced from 5 exons. The record is from RefSeq and is a predicted model, not a curated record.
CACAUCCAAACCCGUCUCUUCUCAGACCCAAAAUCACUUCUGUUCCUUCCCCUCUCACCACUUGACUUCAUAACCAAACCAUUCCCUUUCGCUCUUUAACCAAAAUCCAAUCUUUGAACACAAACCAAGCCUAUUUCGUGGGUUUUCUGGGAAAGCAAUUGGAUUUUUGUUUGAAAGGAAGUUAAGGGUCGUGUGAGUGCAAAAGAAGAUGGCGUUGAUGAAGAAGCUGAGGAGGAAAGUGGAGGGGAGAGUACCUUGCCGGAGCGGUUUAGGACUUGACCGAAGAAGCUCCUGACCCUCCUGUGAAGUUGGCAUGGUUUCUGGUUUCACAAGGAUUUAAGGAGCCCAUUUCUACGGUCUGGCUGGAGAGUAGCACAUGGCAGUGCUACUAUGCUGGUGAAUUGGUGCGGUAAACGGUAGCAACAAGCAAACGGGUGGAUGCAAGAGGCAUAGAAAAGAGAGAGAUGGACAACAGACAUGUAUAAAAGAGUUCAUGAGGCGAUCCAAGUAAAAGUGGAAGUUCAUGCAGUUCAGACGAGUCAAGUCCAUCGAAAAAUCCCAAAAAACGCAUGAAGAAAUUAGCAUCGGCAGUUAAUGAGGAAAAGACCGGUGACACUGAAAUUACCAUAAGAGGUGAUUGCCAAGAUGAUGGAAAGAAUGGAAGCUUCAUAACAGUUCUGGUGAAGUUCCCAUUAUCAUUUCAAUGGCCGGCCGGGCAAAAGAGUUCAAACAGACUGUUGGAAAGCUGUCAAAUGAAAAGGUUUUAGCAAUCAGCGAUAUGGGAUUUGGUAAUAUUUUCUUGUUCCGGUGCAGCAAAUUGAACCUCCACCUUUGCCAAAUGUUGGUCGACAAUUUUGAUGUAGGCAUGAAGAUUCAUGGGAGGUUGAUGAUCAGCCAUGAAGAUUUUAAGCGGGUAAUGAAUGUAAGGGAUGAGACUUGUGAAGUAGAACUAGCUGGUUGCUUGGAUGAUGCAGAUAUCGUGCAACUGAAGAGCCUGAUAUGUGGAAGUGAUAGUGAAAUCAGUAUUGACCGCUUGUGGAAGUGAUACCACUUUAUUAACCUACUAUUAUUUCUAUCAACAUCUGCACUCCAUAUACUCAACCAAAGUUGAAAACAUUCCAAUCCAUAUAUCAUGAACAACCAGAAUCAGAGUUGUAAAGAAAGAUGAUAAAUCAUAUUUAUUCCACAAUGAUUGGCAACAUAGGCCAUGACUUCAGCAAUUGUAAUCCUUCA